GCCUGGAAAAGCUCUCUUUCU
RNAcentral lists this microRNA (21 nucleotides) under Drosophila melanogaster (fruit fly). RNAcentral describes it as "dme-miR-4978-5p". The record is from miRBase by way of RNAcentral. Lineage: Eukaryota; Metazoa; Arthropoda; Insecta; Diptera; Drosophilidae.